Sediminicola sp. YIK13 is the source of this 80-nucleotide regulatory RNA element. Lineage: Bacteria; Pseudomonadati; Bacteroidota; Flavobacteriia; Flavobacteriales; Flavobacteriaceae. The record is from Rfam.
UUUGAAGAGGAAGGAUUUGACUGAUUGCAACCUCGAGUUCCGGAAUUGUUCCGGAUUCUUAAAAUGCUAAAGCAGUUCCU